GAGCCUGUUUAAGGUAAAGUGUAGAACUGCUAAUUCCUCACCCCGUGGUUCAAUUCCACGGCUUGCUCGU
This 70-nucleotide transfer RNA is filed under the name Paradoxophyla palmata (web-foot frog). RNAcentral's name for it is "tRNA-Ser". The record is from RNAcentral. Lineage: Eukaryota; Metazoa; Chordata; Amphibia; Anura; Microhylidae.